Molecule: ribosomal RNA, 460 nt
Filed under: uncultured bacterium
Lineage: Bacteria
Description: partial 16S ribosomal RNA
Rfam family: Bacterial small subunit ribosomal RNA
Source: RNAcentral
CCUACGGGAGGCAGCAGUGAGGAAUAUUGGUCAAUGGACGCAACUCUGAACCAGCCAAGUCGCGUGCAGGAUGACGGCCCUAUGAGUUGUAAACUGCUUUUAUACGGGGGUAAACUCAGAUACGUGUAGCUUUCUGCAAGUAUCGCAUGAAUAAGGAUCGGCUAAUUCCGUGCCAGCAGCCGCGGUAAUACGGAGGGUCCGGGCGUUAUCCGGAUUUACUGGGUGUAAAGGGAGCGUAGACCGCAGCUGAAGUGUGUUGUGAAAUGCCGGGGCUUAACCCUGGCACUGCGGUGGAAACUGGGGGGCUAGAGUGCGGGAGAGGUAGGUGGAAUUCGUGGUGUAGCGGUGAAAUGCGUAGAUAUUACGAAGAACACCGAUGGCGAAGGCAGCUUACUGUAGUGUUACUGACGCUGAGGCUCGAAGGUGUGGGUAUCGAACAGGAUUAGAUACCCGGGUAGUC